GAUGAAGAACGUAGCGAAAUGCGAUAACUAAUGUGAAUUGCAGAAUUCAGUGAAUCAUCGAGUCUUUGAACGCACAUUGCGCCCCCUGGUAUUCCGGGGGGCAUGCCUGUCCGAGCGUCAUUGCUGCCCUCAAGCACGGCUUGUGUGUUGGGCUCCGUCCCCCCGGGGACGGGCCCGAAAGGCAGCGGCGGCACCGAGUCCGGUCCUCGAGCGUAUGGGGCUUUGUCACCCGCUCUGUAGGCCCGGCCGGCGCCAGCCGACAACCCAUCAUCCUUUUCAGGUUGACCUCGGAUCAGGUAGGGAUACCCGCUGAACUUAAGCAUAUCAAUAGCGGAGG
Molecule: unclassified non-coding RNA, 337 nt
Filed under: soil metagenome
Description: partial contains 5.8S ribosomal RNA, internal transcribed spacer 2, and large subunit ribosomal RNA
Rfam family: 5.8S ribosomal RNA (bases 1-120)
Source: RNAcentral